This 269-nucleotide long non-coding RNA is filed under the name Manihot esculenta (cassava). RNAcentral's name for it is "long non-coding RNA (MESC_LNC009833)". The record is from RNAcentral. Lineage: Eukaryota; Viridiplantae; Streptophyta; Magnoliopsida; Malpighiales; Euphorbiaceae.
AUGCUGAUGUUCUAUGUGCUAUGUGCUGUUUUCAGAAAACAGGAUGAGAGGAACUCGUCGAUCUGCACGAUUGACUGGAGUGCCACCUGAGGAUGAGGGCAUGAGCGCCCGUCCUCCAGCAUUGCCUAGGGCAAUGUCAAGUAGGUCCAACAGGGACCGAACAGUGAGAGACCCUAGAAGGUCUUUAGAUCUGGGAAGAAGCAGAUCAGUACGAGGAACCGUUCAAGGUGGCAUGUCAGAAGAUGUGGGAGAUGACAUGGAUGUGGACC